Molecule: long non-coding RNA, 1249 nt
Filed under: Canis lupus familiaris (dog)
Lineage: Eukaryota; Metazoa; Chordata; Mammalia; Carnivora; Canidae
Description: lncRNA (ENSCAFG00000054877.1)
Source: RNAcentral
GAAGCUCUCGCACGCUGGGCCCCAGGCUUCCACAGCGCUUAGCACUUUCUAACCAGUCCUCACCGUGGCCUCGGCCACUUGGCUAACUUCCCCCCUGUCCCCUCUGAGCUUUCUACAGAGCAGUGGCGCAUCUGACGCUGCCCCACGCCCCCUCCCUCCCCGCCACGAGGAGCCUAAGGAGGAGCCCCUAAAGGGCAACAGCCUGGACGCCCACCAAGGAGACGAUCGAGCUCGACCGAAGCCAGCGGGGUACCAGACAGGAGGGGAGCACCUCCGGGGGCCACGACAUUGUCUCCCUUCCUCUUCACCACAGCCCAUGGACGAUAAAAGAGCUGUCAGUAGUCUCCCUUCUGGAAACUGGAAGGAUCCGCAUGGAGCUCAGACCCCUCGAGUCAACGGAAGCCAGGCUCUGCUUGGUCAUCCCUGAGGCCGUGGAUCUCAUCCAGCAAGGGAGGCUGUGCCCCCAGCGGAACGUGUGGGCUCUGCGAGCGUCCGCCCCCCUGGGGUCCCCGGGGUCCCACCUUCCUAGCAACAUCCAGAUGUGUCAUCAUUCCAGGGGUCUGAUUAGCUGUAGAACGUGCUAUUUCCUUGUUCUCAGGAUUCAUCUGCGUUAACUCUGCUGCUAAUUGGGUUUGUAUCUGGCAGCGGUGACAUCGAAAAAAAGGUUUUGUAGUCAAUUAUGUUCUCCCGGAACACACUGGAAGGGGGUGUCCUGUCAAUGCUGAGGGGCUCCCUACCUUAAUGAGCCCCAGACAAAGGCACAAAAGGACAUUAUGGUCCCUGAGCACCUGUCCUUAGUGGCUUCUGUAGAACAAGAAACUGAAGCUCUAUCUGGGCCCUGCGUGCGUGGGCUUUGCUGCACUUUCAAAUGGCCCGUUUCCCGUGGCGCGCAUCUGAGUGUGAUCAGAGUGUGAUCAGGUGUGUCAGGGCCACUUGGAAAAAUCGUCCCCGAGGAAAUGAAAUGUGCAAAGGCCCUUCCUGCAGCCUGAGGAUGGCAGGUUGGGUUUAACUGCACCGAAGCCGGGGAAACGGACACUUAGGGUCCCCGCCGCCCCCAGAACAGCAGCACCCACAGCCCACACCUGGAGGAAGAGAAAUGGAAUUCUUCCCGCAAGUUCUUUUUCGGGCCCAGAACAAAUCAUUCUUCUACUGUUUUAACAUCCUGAGUGUGGGUGGAAGCAAUGCUUACUUACGUCUUAUGGAAAAGAUGGGGUGUUUAUAGAAGAAGCAUCUAGCCAACCGGGGCGAU